RNAcentral lists this unclassified non-coding RNA (761 nucleotides) under Bombus terrestris (buff-tailed bumblebee). RNAcentral's name for it is "misc RNA ENSBTSG00005024309.1". The record is from RNAcentral. Lineage: Eukaryota; Metazoa; Arthropoda; Insecta; Hymenoptera; Apidae.
CAUACCACUUAUGGAUUAAUUUGAAAUAAAGAAAAGAGAAAAGAUAGGUCUGUUAAAUAAGAAGAAAGAAAUAGUUGUUGUCUAUAUCAAUAUUGACUCAAGAGAGAAACCACCGAGCUCUUAUCACGGUCAGGGACGGUAGCUAAUACCAGUAUACACACACGAUCAGUAUAUAAAAUACGUGCAGACACAUUUCUGACAUUUCCGGCCAGGAAUAGCCAUACAGUGAUACAAUGACUAAAAAAUGACGCUUACACAUCAAAAUGAAUCAACGCUAGUUCUGCGAAAGAAACAAAAAUAUGGACGAAUCAGAGUUGAUAUUCUUAGCACGACAGUGCUGCCGUACAAAUAACAAAGGAGCAAAUGGAAGACUAUAUAUUAUGGUAAUGACUGGUGCAAAAUAUUUUAGGCGACUGCAUCCUCUUUCUCAUAUUAGAAAUGAGACAACUAUAGAGUACCAUUUGAAUCAAUAUCACGGAAAAUACGUUCGCAACCUUGUCGGUUCGAUUAAAAUUAGAUAAGAAUUUUCUACGUCGCUGAAUGUGAUAUACAGCAAUUGACGAAAACCAUGAACUGUAUAACAAAGAAAUAAUCCUAAUUCUUCAAAUUUCAAUGUAACAUUUUGGUAUUUGAAUGUUCACAGGACUUGGAAUACCUUUUUUCUCUUCACAAAUAUAUCUAUUUAGAUGUUGACCUAAUUAAAAUAAACAAGAAAAUGAUUGUCAAAUAUAACUGAACAAAUUAUAAACGUGAGAAUUACA